UGGGGAAUAUUGCACAAUGGGCGCAAGCCUGAUGCAGCCAUGCCGCGUGUAUGAAGAAGGCCUUCGGGUUGUAAAGUACUUUCAGCGGGGAGGAAGGGAGUAAAGUUAAUACCUUUGCUCAUUGACGUUACCCGCAGAAGAAGCACCCGCUAACUCCGUGCCAGCAGCCGCGGUAAUACGGAGGGUGCAAGCGUUAAUCGGAAUUACUGGGCGUAAAGCGCACGCAGGCGGUUUGUUAAGUCAGAUGUGAAAUCCCCGGGCUCAACCUGGGAACUGCAUCUGAUACUGGCAAGCUUGAGUCUCGUAGAGGGGGGUAGAAUUCCAGGUGUAGCGGUGAAAUGCGUAGAGAUCUGGAGGAAUACCGGUGGCGAAGGCGGCCCCCUGGACGAAGACUGACGCUCAGGUGCGAAAGCGUGGGGAGCAAACAGG
Molecule: ribosomal RNA, 429 nt
Filed under: Chloroflexota bacterium
Lineage: Bacteria; Bacillati; Chloroflexota
Description: Chloroflexi bacterium partial 16S ribosomal RNA
Rfam family: Bacterial small subunit ribosomal RNA
Source: RNAcentral